RNAcentral lists this ribosomal RNA (276 nucleotides) under uncultured marine Prymnesiales. RNAcentral describes it as "partial Bacterial large subunit ribosomal RNA". It matches the Rfam family "Bacterial large subunit ribosomal RNA", at positions 2482 to 2757 of the family's 2925-position model. Lineage: Eukaryota; Haptophyta; Prymnesiales. The record is from RNAcentral.
CUGAUACCGCCCAAGAGUUCACAUCGACGGCGGUGUUUGGCACCUCGAUGUCGGCUCAUCACAUCCUGGGGCUGAAGCCGGUCCCAAGGGUAUGGCUGUUCGCCAUUUAAAGUGGUACGCGAGCUGGGUUUAGAACGUCGUGAGACAGUUCGGUCCCUAUCUGCCGUGGACGUUGGAAAAUUGAGAAGAGCUGCUCCUAGUACGAGAGGACCGGAGUGGACGAACCUCUGGUGUUCGGGUUGUGUCGCCAGACGCAUUGCCCGGUAGCUAUGUUCG